AACCUCCGCAAUGUGAGAAAUCGCGACGGGGGGAUCCCAAGUGCCAUUCUUAACGGGAUGGCUUUUCAUUAGUGUAAAGAGCUUUUGGAAUAAGAGCUGGGCAAGACCGGUGCCAGCCGCCGCGGUAACACCGGCAGCUCUAGUGGUAACAAUUUUUAUUGGGCCUAAAGCGUCCGUAGCCGGUUUAAUAAGUCUCUGGUGAAAUCCUGUAGCUUAACUGUGGGAAUUGCUGGAGAUACUAUUAGACUUGAGACCGGGAGAGGUUAGAGGUACUCCCAGGGUAGAGGUGAAAUUCUGUAAUCCUGGGAGGACCGCCUGUUGCGAAGGCGUCUAACUGGAACGGUUCUGACGGUGAGGGACGAAAGUUAGGGCGCGAACCGGAUUAGAUACCCGGGUAGUCCUAACCGUAAACGAUGCGGACUUGGUGUUGGGGUGGCUUUGAGCUGCUCCAGUGCCGAAGGGAAGCUGUUAAGUCCGCCGCCUGGGAAGUACGGUCGCAAGACUAAAACUUAAAGGAAUU
This 520-nucleotide ribosomal RNA is filed under the name uncultured bacterium. RNAcentral's name for it is "bacterial SSU rRNA". It matches the Rfam family "Archaeal small subunit ribosomal RNA", at positions 345 to 866 of the family's 1478-position model. The record is from RNAcentral.